Molecule: ribosomal RNA, 460 nt
Filed under: uncultured bacterium
Lineage: Bacteria
Description: partial 16S ribosomal RNA
Rfam family: Bacterial small subunit ribosomal RNA
Source: RNAcentral
CCUACGGGAGGCAGCAGUGAGGAAUCUUGGUCAAUGGACGAGAGUCUGAACCAGCCAAGUAGCGUGAAGGAUGACUGCUCUAUGGGCUGUAAACUUCUUUUAUAAAGGAAUAAAACGACGCACGUGUGCCUUUUUGCAUGUACUUUAUGAAUAAGGAUCGGCUAACUCCGGGACAGCAGCCGCGGUAAUACGGAGGAUCCGAGCGUUAUCCGGAUUUAUUGGGUUUAAAGGGAGCGUAGAUGGGUUGUUAAGUCAGUUGUGAAAGUUUGCGGCUCAACCGUAAAAUUGCAAUUGAUACUGGCAAUCUUGAGUACAGUUGAGGUAGGCGGAAUUCGUGGUGUAGCGGUGAAAUGCGUAGAUAUCACGAAGAACCCCGAUUGCGAAGGCAGCUUACUAAACUGUGACUGACAUUGAUGCUCGAAAGUGUGGGUAUCAAACAGGAUUAGAUACCCCGGUAGUC